UACGUAGGUGGCAAGCGUUGUCCGGAUUUAUUGGGCUUAAAGGGCGCGUAGGCGGGCUAUCAAGUCCGGGGUGAAAUCCUCCAGCUUAACUGGAGAACUGCCUCGGAUACUGAUGGUCUCGAGGAGGAUAGGGGCACACGGAACUGUGGGUGGAGCGGUGAAAUGCGUUGAUAUCCAUAGGAACUCCGGUGGCGAAAGCGGUGUGCUGGAUCCUUUCUGACGCUGAGGCGCGAAAGCCAGGGGAGCAAACGGG
RNAcentral lists this ribosomal RNA (253 nucleotides) under uncultured bacterium. Its description in RNAcentral is "partial 16S ribosomal RNA". It matches the Rfam family "Bacterial small subunit ribosomal RNA", at positions 524 to 776 of the family's 1533-position model. The record is from RNAcentral.